AACGAACGCUGGCGGCAUGCCUAACACAUGCAGGUCGAACGAGAUCUUCGGGUCUAGUGGCGCACGGGUGCGUAACGCGUGGGAAUCUGCCCUUUGGUUCGGAAUAACAGUUGGAAACGACUGCUAAUACCGGAUGAUGACGAAAGUCCAAAGAUUUAUCGCCAGAGGAUGAGCCCGCGUAGGAUUAGCUAGUUGGUGUGGUAAAGGCGCACCAAGGCGGCGAUCCUUAGCUGGUCUGAGAGGAUGAUCAGCCACACUGGGACUGAGACACGGCCCAGACUCCUACGGGAGGCAGCAGUGGGGAAUAUUGGACAAUGGGCGAAAGCCUGAUCCGGCAAUGCCGCGUGAGUGAUGAAGGCCUUAGGGUUGUAAAGCUCUUUUACCCGGGAUGAUAAUGACAGUACCGGGAGAAUAAGCUCCGGCUAACUCCGUGCCAGCAGCCGCCGUAA
This 449-nucleotide ribosomal RNA is filed under the name uncultured bacterium. RNAcentral's name for it is "partial 16S ribosomal RNA". It matches the Rfam family "Bacterial small subunit ribosomal RNA", at positions 29 to 523 of the family's 1533-position model. The record is from RNAcentral.